Molecule: ribosomal RNA, 498 nt
Filed under: uncultured bacterium
Lineage: Bacteria
Description: partial 16S ribosomal RNA
Rfam family: Bacterial small subunit ribosomal RNA
Source: RNAcentral
GAUGAACGCUAGCGGCAGGCCUAAUACAUGCAAGUCGGACGGGAUUUGGGAGCUUGCUCCUAAUGAGAGUGGCGCACGGGUGCGUAACACGUAUGUAACCUACCUUAAUCAGGGGGGUAGCCUCUCGAAAGAGAGAUUAACACCGCAUAAUAUAUUUUUAUGGCAUCGUAGAAAUAUCAAAUAUUUAUAGGAUUAAGAUGGGCAUGCGGAACAUUAGCUAGUUGGUAAGGUAACGACUUACCAAGGCUACGAUGUUUAGGGGAUCUGAGAGUAUGACCCCCCACACUGGUACUGAGACACGGACCAGACUCCUACGGGAGGCAGCAGUAAGGAAUAUUGGUCAAUGGGCGCAAGCCUGAACCAGCCAUGCCGCGUGCAGGAAGACGGCCCUAUGGGUUGUAAACUGCUUUUGUACCGGAAUAAACCCUUUUACGUGUAAGAGGCUGAAUGUACGGUAAGAAUAAGGAUCGGCUAACUCCGUGCCAGCAGCCGCCGUAA